GCCGGGCGUGGUGGCGGACACCUGUAGUCCCAGCUACUCGGGAGGCUGAGGCAGGAGAAUUGCUUGAACCCAGGAGGUGGAGCUUGCAGUGAGCUGAGAUCACGGCACUGCACUCCAGCCUGGGUGACAGAGCAAGACUCUGUCUCAA
Pongo abelii (Sumatran orangutan) is the source of this 148-nucleotide unclassified non-coding RNA. It matches the Rfam family "Metazoan signal recognition particle RNA". From Rfam's summary of the family: The signal recognition particle (SRP) is a universally conserved ribonucleoprotein. NCBI's taxonomy places the organism in Eukaryota, Metazoa, Chordata, Mammalia, Primates, Hominidae. The record is from Ensembl.